This 290-nucleotide ribosomal RNA is filed under the name uncultured bacterium. Its description in RNAcentral is "partial 16S ribosomal RNA". It matches the Rfam family "Bacterial small subunit ribosomal RNA", at positions 28 to 318 of the family's 1533-position model. The record is from RNAcentral.
GACGAACGCUGGCGGCGUGCUUAACACAUGCAAGUCGAGCGGUAAGGCCCUUUCGGGGGUACGACGAGCGGCGAACGGGUGAGUAACACGUGGGUGACCUGCCCUCAGCUCUGGGAUAAGCCUGGGAAACCGGGUCUAAUACUGGAUAUGACUCCAUGACGCAUGUUGUGGGGUGGAAAGCCUUGUGCGGCUGAGGAUGGGCCCGCGGCCUAUCAGCUUGUUGGUGGGGUGANGGCCUACCAAGGCGACGACGGGUAGCCGGCCUGAGAGGGCGACCGGCCACACUGGGA